GGUAGUGUGGCCGAGAACGAGGCGGCGAGCUGUAGACUCGUCAAGGGGGAAAAAGAAGGGGCCCCCACUACCA
Molecule: transfer RNA, 73 nt
Filed under: Gehyra oceanica (Pacific dtella)
Lineage: Eukaryota; Metazoa; Chordata; Lepidosauria; Squamata; Gekkonidae
Description: tRNA-Tyr
Source: RNAcentral